UUGUUAUUUUAGAUAGAUAAGAUUUGUUAUCGUGGUUGAUUCAAGUUCCAUCUCUGUAAAGCACUCAACACAACAAUGGCUUCUUCUCUCCACCAAAACCCCACUUUCCUUAAACCCCAACCCUCUCUAACACCAAAACCUGCCACCACGCGCCGUAACUAUAUUCCAGUACGAUGUGGAGGACCGCGUUCCCAACGUGGACCUCUAAUAAAAGGUCGAUUCCUAAGCAUCGAAGCAAUCCAAGCCAUCCAAACUCUAAAACGCAUCAACCGAAUCAAUCCACCGAACCAAAUCCAACUCCUUUCCAAUACUCUCACUCGUUUAAUCAAAUCUGACCUAGUCGCCACUCUAAAGGAGCUUCUACGCCAACAACACUGUACCCUCGCACUCCGUGUCUUCUCCGCCGUCAGAUCUGAAUACGGAGCAGAUCUAUCGCUUUAUGCGGAAAUGGUGCAGGCGCUUGGUAACUGUAAUAUGUCAGAAGAUGUGGACCGUUUGAUUGAAGAGAUUGAAACGGAGGGUGGGAUUCAGUGUGAUGAGGUUCAGAGGAAAGGGAUUUUGAAUUUGAUUAAGGCUGUUGUUUGUGCGCAGAGGAGAGAAUCGACUGUUAGGAUUUAUGAGAUGAUGAAGAGGAGUGGAUGGGGAUCGAGUGUUGAACCUGAUGAGUAUGUUGUUAGGGUUUUGAGUAAUGGGCUUAAGGGUUUCGGAGAAGAGGAACUUGCUUUACAUAUUCAAAAUGACACCACACGCAAUCAGGGGUUGGAUAAGUUGGAGAUUACUCUGCCAAAGGGAACAUGGUUGGGUUUUGAUUUUAAUGAUUCACAUCCGGAUUUACCAGCUUUAUAUUUGAAAGGUGGCUCAAUAAUUCCUGUGGGACUCCCUCUUCAGCAUGUUGGAGAAGCUAAUCCUUCGGACGAACUGACACUUCUCGUGGCUUUAGAUGAAUAUGGGAAAGCUGAAGGUUUUCUAUUCAAGGAUGAUGGCGAUGGAUAUGAAUUCACUAAAGGAAAUUAUUUAUUAACACAUUAUGUGGCUGAACUUCAAUCGUCGGUUGUUACUGUGAGUGUGCACAAAACUGAAGGAUCGUGGAAAAGACCGAAACGCCGCUUCCACAUUCAAUUAUUACUAGGUGGGGGUGCAAUGGUAUGCUAUUCAUGCUAACUUAUUCACCAAAUAAAAACUUGGGUCAUCGUUGGGCUUAUUAUGUGAAUGAAACCCCCAACCACAAAACUAAAACUUCCUCUUCUCCAUUAAACUAUAAAAUGUAAGAAGACUCUUCUCUCCUACUGUCUACUGCAACCUCCAGCCGCACUGCGUGUGAAGGUGCCGGCCAAAAAACAGCAGGUCAGAGCUGGAAAGUCAGUGAAGAGCAAUGGGCGGUAACAGCUAGGUUUUCAGAUGAUUUCAUCUUGGCGACCCAAUUGUAUGAAAAAACUCACAUAAUUGGACUCAAAGCCACUACUUGAAAACAAAAUGCAACCAAGACAAAAUAGUGGCAGAUUAGCCAGCCAUGCUGCUCUGCAACAGCACAAUAGCACAGCUAACCCACGCUUUUCAUAAAAUAUGUUUUGAAUAUUAUUAGAACUUAGAUUUUCUUUUUGUACAAGUUUAGCAAGUCCACAUAAUAUUAACUAGGCUCUGCAUAAAAAAUUAUUUAAACACGUUAUCCAACACUAAGUAUUCAUUACAGAAUUUGGAGGUCAUAUGUAGUAGCAGCUCCAACACAGUAUUUAUAUUCAUUAAAUCAGGAGAAAAGUUCAAGUCUUAAAUAUCA
This is an RNA transcript of Cicer arietinum (chickpea), 1774 nucleotides long. It is a transcript of the gene named glucosidase 2 subunit alpha-like, with no coding region annotated. The record is from RefSeq and is a predicted model, not a curated record. Lineage: Eukaryota; Viridiplantae; Streptophyta; Magnoliopsida; Fabales; Fabaceae.